Long non-coding RNA from Carya illinoinensis, 828 nucleotides. RefSeq lists it as uncharacterized. The transcript has 3 exons. The record is from RefSeq and is a predicted model, not a curated record. NCBI's taxonomy places the organism in Eukaryota, Viridiplantae, Streptophyta, Magnoliopsida, Fagales, Juglandaceae.
ACCGUUUUGUUUGCUUUCUUGUACGUCAGUUGAAUUGUGUUUGGCAUUUUGCUUCCCCAUUAGAAUUUGUCCUGCGAAAGAGCUCCUUCCUCGCCCGCCCCCAUCACAUCACCUUCCUCUGCCCAGCACCACCCGGGGACGUCAUCUCUCUGUCCAGCGGCACCGAGCGAUGUCCCUCCGUCUGCACAGAGCCACCACUCCCCGAAUGCUCCUCUGACGGAGCAAAGCAGACUAACACCCCGAGUACAAAAGCCCUACGACGUUCCUCUGUCUUCCCGCUGCCCCUGCUCAACGAGAAUGCUACUCAUCUAUAAGGACACUGAUAGUUUUAAACGCCAUAAAAUAUUCUGAAUAUUGCCACCGUUGCUGGUUUGCAUUCUACUUCAGAGACUCAAGGAAGGACAAGGCAAAAGAAAAUUGCAUCCUUAGCAAGGAGGUAAUUGGUAUCAUGGCUUCUAGUGAAACACGUCUUGCUGACUUUGUUGGGACUGGGUGGUUUUUGAUGGAUUCCCAUUGGUCCCUUCAUUUUCGAAAAAAUUAUGUCCACGAUGGCCAUCUCUUUGAGCUUUCGGGCAAUAGAAUGAUCUAGUCUUCCACUUUGGUAGACAUUCCACCCAAGCAUCAGUUUGGUAACAUGCGUUUUGGAGCAAAUUUUGGCUUGACUAGAAUUACCAAGAUUGGAAGCGAAGCGAAGCAGCUGAUUUGCAUAAUUCCAUAGUUGAUUAUAAAGUUUAUGUAACUUUAGCACCCUAUGUAGUUUCUAAGCAUGCUGUAAUCUCUGCAUAUAUUGAGAGAGAGAGAGAGAGAGAGAGAGAGAGAGAGAGAGAG